This 459-nucleotide ribosomal RNA is filed under the name uncultured bacterium. RNAcentral's name for it is "partial 16S ribosomal RNA". It matches the Rfam family "Bacterial small subunit ribosomal RNA", at positions 338 to 795 of the family's 1533-position model. The record is from RNAcentral.
CCUACGGGAGGCAGCAGUGAGGAAUAUUGGUCAAUGGGCGGGAGCCUGAACCAGCCAAGUCGCGUGAGGGAUGACGGCCCUAUGGGUUGUAAACCUCUUUUGCCGGGGAGCAAAGUGCCGCACGUGUGCGGUUUGGAGAGUACCCGGAGAAAAAGCAUCGGCUAACUCCGUGCCAGCAGCCGCGGUAAUACGGAGGAUGCGAGCGUUAUCCGGAUUUAUUGGGCUUAAAGGGAGCGUAGGCGGGCGUUCAAGUCAGCUGUAAAAUCGCGCGGCUCAACCGCGCCCCGCAGUUGAAACUGGACGCCUUGAGUUCACAACAGGCAGGCGGAAUUCGUGGUGUAGCGGUGAAAUGCAUAGAUAUCACGAGGAACCCCGAUUGCGAAGGCAGCCUGCCGGGGUGCGACUGACGCUGAGGCUCGAAGGUGCGGGUAUCAAACAGGAUUAGAUACCCGAGUAGUC